UAUUUUUACAACUAUUUCAAAGAUGCUUAAAGGGCUGAUAAUUUUUGGUACCGGAGUUUACACCGGUGUUUAUGUAGCACAAAAUUAUCAGGAUGCUGUUCGACUUAUUUGUAAAAGAACAUCUCAGGAAUGUGACAAAACAUUGGACAAAAAGAAAUGAUAGAAAAAGUUGAAGAUCCGAUGUCAUUAUUUGAAAAAGCACAAGCUUAUUUAAAGGCUAAAAUGGCAGAGUUAAAU
Achroia grisella is the source of this 237-nucleotide long non-coding RNA. RefSeq lists it as uncharacterized. NCBI's taxonomy places the organism in Eukaryota, Metazoa, Arthropoda, Insecta, Lepidoptera, Pyralidae. The transcript is spliced from 4 exons. The record is from RefSeq and is a predicted model, not a curated record.